This 71-nucleotide transfer RNA is filed under the name Dipodomys ordii (Ord's kangaroo rat). It matches the Rfam family "tRNA". From Rfam's summary of the family: Transfer RNA (tRNA) molecules are approximately 80 nucleotides in length. Their secondary structure includes four short double-helical elements and three loops (D, anti-codon, and T loops). Lineage: Eukaryota; Metazoa; Chordata; Mammalia; Rodentia; Heteromyidae. The record is from Rfam by way of RNAcentral.
GGAGCUGUGACUCAAAUGGUAGAGUGCUUGCCUCACAUGUAUAAGGCCCUGGGUUCUAUUCCUCAGCACCA